GCUUACGGCCACACCACCCUGAGAACGCCCGAUCUCGUCUGAUCUCGGAANCUAAGCAGGGUCGGGCCUGGUUAGUACUUGGAUGGGAGACCGCCUGGGAAUACCAGGUGCUGUAAGCU
This 119-nucleotide ribosomal RNA is filed under the name Astyanax mexicanus (Mexican tetra). Lineage: Eukaryota; Metazoa; Chordata; Actinopteri; Characiformes; Acestrorhamphidae. The record is from RNAcentral.